This 401-nucleotide ribosomal RNA is filed under the name uncultured bacterium. RNAcentral describes it as "bacterial SSU rRNA". It matches the Rfam family "Bacterial small subunit ribosomal RNA", at positions 355 to 773 of the family's 1533-position model. The record is from RNAcentral.
UGGGGAAUAUUGGACAAUGGGCGAAAGCCUGAUCCAGCAAUGCCGCGUGAGUAAUGAAGGCCUUAGGGUUGUAAAGCUCUUUUACCCGGGAUGAUAAUGACAGUACCGGGAGAAUAAGCCCCGGCUAACUCCGUGCCAGCAGCCGCGGUAAUACGAAGGGGGCUAGCGUUGCUCGGAAUCACUGGGCGUAAAGCGCGCGUAGGCGGAUUCUUAAGUCGGUGGUGAAAGCCUGGAGCUCAACUCCAGAACUGCCUUCGAUACUGAGAGUCUUGAGUCCGGGAGAGGUGAGUGGAACUGCGAGUGUAGAGGUGAAAUUCGUAGAUAUUCGCAAGAACACCAGUGGCGAAGGCGGCUCACUGGCCCGGUACUGACGCUGAGGUGCGAAAGCGUGGGGAGCAAAC